RNAcentral lists this ribosomal RNA (429 nucleotides) under uncultured Desulfocapsa sp. RNAcentral describes it as "bacterial SSU rRNA". It matches the Rfam family "Bacterial small subunit ribosomal RNA", at positions 955 to 1382 of the family's 1533-position model. The record is from RNAcentral. Lineage: Bacteria; Pseudomonadati; Thermodesulfobacteriota; Desulfobulbia; Desulfobulbales; Desulfocapsaceae.
CGCAACGCGCAGAACCUUACCUGGUCUUGACAUCUCGGGAAUCAUUUGGAAACAUAUGAGUGCCUCGCAAGAGGAGCCCGAUGACAGGUGCUGCAUGGCUGUCGUCAGCUCGUGUCGUGAGAUGUUGGGUUAAGUCCCGCAACGAGCGCAACCCUUGUCUUUAGUUGCCAUCAUUAAGUUGGGCACUCUAAAGAGACUGCCGGUGUCAAACCGGAGGAAGGUGGGAUGACGUCAAGUCCUCAUGGCCUUUAUGACCAGGGCUACACACGUACUACAAUGGCAGGUACAAAGGGCAGCCACUUAGCGAUAAGGCGCGAAUCCCAUAAAACCUGUCUCAGUCCGGAUUGGAGUCUGCAACUCGACUCCAUGAAGUUGGAAUCGCUAGUAAUCGCAGAUCAGCACGCUGCGGUGAAUACGUUCCCGGGCCUU